RNAcentral lists this ribosomal RNA (484 nucleotides) under uncultured bacterium. RNAcentral describes it as "partial 16S ribosomal RNA". It matches the Rfam family "Bacterial small subunit ribosomal RNA", at positions 30 to 507 of the family's 1533-position model. The record is from RNAcentral.
AUUGAACGCUGGCGGCAGGCCUAACACAUGCAAGUCGAGCGGAUGAAGGGGGCUUGCUCCUGGAUUCAGCGGCGGACGGGUGAGUAAUGCCUAGGAAUCUGCCUGGUAGUGGGGGAUAACGUCCGGAAACGGGCGCUAAUACCGCAUACGUCCUGAGGGAGAAAGUGGGGGAUCUUCGGACCUCACGCUAUCAGAUGAGCCUAGGUCGGAUUAGCUAGUUGGUGGGGUAAAGGCCUACCAAGGCGACGAUCCGUAACUGGUCUGAGAGGAUGAUCAGUCACACUGGAACUGAGACACGGUCCAGACUCCUACGGGAGGCAGCAGUGGGGAAUAUUGGACAAAGGGCGAAAGCCUGAUCCAGCCAUGCCGCGUGUGUGAAGAAGGUCUUCGGAUUGUAAAGCACUUUAAGUUGGGAGGAAGGGCAGUAAGUUAAUACCUUGCUGUUUUGACGUUACCAACGGAAUAAGCACCGGCUAACUUCGUG